AUUGAACGCUGGCGGCAGGCCUAACACAUGCAAGUCGAGCGGAUGAAAGGAGCUUGCUCCUUAAUUCAGCGGCGGACGGGUGAGUAAUGCCUAGGAAUCUGCCUAUUAGUGGGGGACAACGUUUCGAAAGGAACGCUAAUACCGCAUACGUCCUACGGGAGAAAGUGGGGGCUCUUCGGACCUCACGCUAAUAGAUGAGCCUAGGUCGGAUUAGCUAGUUGGUGAGGUAAUGGCUCACCAAGGCAACGAUCCGUAGCUGGUCUGAGAGGAUGAUCAGCAACACUGGAGCUGAGACACGGUCCAGACUCCUACGGGAGGCAGCAGUGGGGAAUAUUGGACAAUGGGCGAAAGCCUGAUCCAGCCAUGCCGCGUGUGUGAAGAAGGUCUUGGAUUGUAAAGCACUUUAAGUUGGGAGGAAGGAUUGUUAGCUAAUAUCUAGCAGUCUUGACGUUACCAACAGAAUAAGCACCGGCUAACUCUGUGCCAGCCGCCGCAGUAA
RNAcentral lists this ribosomal RNA (499 nucleotides) under uncultured bacterium. Its description in RNAcentral is "partial 16S ribosomal RNA". It matches the Rfam family "Bacterial small subunit ribosomal RNA", at positions 30 to 523 of the family's 1533-position model. The record is from RNAcentral.